Molecule: long non-coding RNA, 1159 nt
Organism: Olea europaea var. sylvestris
Lineage: Eukaryota; Viridiplantae; Streptophyta; Magnoliopsida; Lamiales; Oleaceae
Exons: 3
Source: RefSeq, a predicted model, not a curated record
AGAGGCAAUCCUGUCAUUUACUGUUCAUUUGGGAAGUAUUUUCGAUUUUCCCAUUUUACCUUCAGCAAUGGUUUAUUUCUUAUACCUUCUUCACCUCUUCUCUUUGCCUCACAUUCGUUCCUCCCUUUACAAACUACAGAAGAACCUCAAAAUCUACCCAUAGCCAUAAAAGAUUCCCCACAGAUCUCGUUUAUCUCAGCCCCAAAUUCGUUCUUCCUCUUUCGAACUAUACAAGAACUUCAAAAUCAAAAGAAAAUCCUAAAAAAAUCCCCAUAGAUCUCGUUUACAUCUGAGAAAUCGAAAUCCUCAGAAGACCCUUUUCCUCUUCUUUUGUAUUGUUGUCGACGAAGUGUUAUGGAGGAAGCUAUUCUUCUUUCUUCAUCGCCGUUCGAUUGCAAGCUCACUACACAAACAAUUACCCACAGAAAAAGUUUAGUUUUUUCGAUAUGUUUUACGAAUCUUGCUCAUGUCCUUUAUUUUAUACUUUCUACUUACUUGGGCAUUUUUCUUGGUCAAGCACUUCAGCUCCUAAAAAGCUUAUUCACACAAAUUUGAUAUUCUUAGGAGUUGACAGAUGAUGUGGCCGAGUUUAAAAGAAAAUCAUCACUCAUGAUUCUCACAUGGGCCUCUCCACUGCAUCGCCAGUGGAGACCAUAAAUUUUGCACUGGAGGAAUUUCUGGACAAGAAUGAAAUAAUUCAAGAAUGCAGAUCUCUUAAUGAAUGUCUUAUUAAAUUCUUUCAACCAAGAGCAAGUCUUGCGAAAAAAUAUACUAGACAAGAAAUUCGAAAGUUCAAGAAAUUGAUGACACAGCAAUGGGAUUCAGGCUUCUGAGGUUGCACGGGUAUAAGGUUUCUGCAGGUAGAGUUUUUGACUUCUAGAAAUGAUGACGGCGAAGUAAUGUAAAUGACAAAAGUACAAUUCACCAAGGUUUGUUGGGAUUGUAUCAUUUCUUUUGGAUUAAAAUGGCAGAAGUAAUGUUAUAAUUUCACGAAAAUCUUAUCUAUAAGUAUGCUGGCGUGUGCUAUUUAGGGAAAGAAUGUAUCUGAUUGUUGUUGUUUUGCAGGCGAAGUGUCUAGCAUAUGCAAAAUGUGUUCUUCAAUUGUCUCUAAACUAUCUUUGUUGCAUAUAAUUCUGAAACAUAGGAUGACAAUUUUCUA